RNAcentral lists this long non-coding RNA (669 nucleotides) under Fukomys damarensis (Damara mole-rat). RNAcentral's name for it is "lncRNA (ENSFDAG00000033603.1)". Lineage: Eukaryota; Metazoa; Chordata; Mammalia; Rodentia; Bathyergidae. The record is from RNAcentral.
GGCUUUGUGAGAAGGGAAAGAAAACGAUGCUCCUUAUAGCCCCAGGACGCUCCAGGAAUUACCUCCCCAGGAAGAGCACUGCUUUCCUAGGCCAUUAGCGGGGGUGGCCGACUCAGCAGAGCUUCAGGAGAAAACUGAAGUGACUCAGUGAGCACUGAGACUCCGGGUGGGCACAGCACGUUCCAGUAGAGCUAGCAAAGCAGCACAGCACCCAGAUGGCAGGAACGCAUCUGCAGUGUCCCUCGGGGGACUGCCCGAAAUAUUCGAGAGCAGAGAAUAUUUUUGCAGUCAAGCACUGGAAAUGAGAACGAGAGCACCAGAGUGGAGCCAGAAUAAUUCUCGAGGCUCUUCUUCCUGUAUAACUCCCUGGAAGUCAUCUCCAGUGACAAAAGAACCACAACUUCAUGAGAAUAACACAAACGUCAGCGUGAUUACAGCAAAUCAAAAAGCUUCUUGUACAGUGUGGGAAAAGACCAUCAGAAUGAAGAGACAAUCUACAGUGAGAAAAAGAUUUUGCCAUGUAUUCCUCAGACAGAAGACCAAUAUACAGAAUAUACAAAGAACUGAAAAAAAUGAGACACCCCACGAUAAAAGACCCAAUCAAAAAAUGGGCAACUGAAAUAAAUAGAAAAUUCUCAGAAGUAUGAAUGCCAAAACACAGACACACGA